This 1103-nucleotide long non-coding RNA is filed under the name Vulpes vulpes (red fox). RNAcentral's name for it is "lncRNA (ENSVVUG00000011610.1)". Lineage: Eukaryota; Metazoa; Chordata; Mammalia; Carnivora; Canidae. The record is from RNAcentral.
AUGGCACUUGCCUCUUUUGGAGAAGAAACAGAUGAAUCUGCUGCGGCGCCAUCUGAACUUCCUCCCGGCCAUGCUCAGAGCCGCUCUCUGGGUGUGCCCCCAAAUCAUCUGGGAAGUUUGAACAGAAAAAUCUCCAGGCCCAACACACCAAAGUCAGUGUUUCAGAAUCUCGGGGUUGGGGGUGGUGGAGGAUUCUUCUACAUGACCCAGCACAGCUUUGUGACCCUGAUCUUAGAACGAGGCCUGAGGGGCCCUGGCAGCCUGGCCCUGCAUGUGGCUCUAUUGAGAAACAAAACAGAAAUUCAGCCCCUACCCUCUGUAUGUUUCUGUGGUUCCAUGAAGACAGCUUCCAGUAGGACCUGGAGAAAGCAGCUAUGGUUUCCCCAUCUCCAGGGAGGACCCUCCUCACCUUGGGCCACAGGACAAUGGGAAGCAAGGCAAUUUCCAGGUCAACCAGGAAGCCAACUUGGAGAAAUCUGGCUCUUAUCUCUACUUUUAUAUAGCAGGUUUCUUUACAGUUUGCUAUGGACUGGCAGUGCAUUAUUGAAGAGUGGCGAGGUGAUAAGCCACCAGAAGUCUGUAAGGAGGCAGCAGAUGGACAGGGAAGGCCCUUGACUAGGGGGCCAGGAGACUGGGUUCCAGACCCAGGAAGUUUGGGCAAGACACAUCACCUUCUGGGGCUCAAUUUCCUCCUUGGAAAAUAAGGAGCAUGGAUAAGGUGACCUCUAAAUUCUCUUUUUAUAUUGGGAAGCUAUCUUAGAAUCUUCUAGAUCCUUCUAGAAAUCAGGUUUUUCUAAUCAGUCUAUUUUGCUGAUUCUGACAUGUAUGUGUUUUGUUCUGUUUUUAACAUUUCUCAGACCAUGAAUCAUCUCCACCAGAGAGACAUAUUUUUAAAAAUUUAAAUUCAGGGAUCCCUGGGUGGCGCAGCGGUUUGGCGCCUGCCUUUGGCCUAGUGCGUGAUCCUGGAGACCCCGGAUCGAAUCCCACGUCAGGCUCCCGGUGCAUGGAGCCUGCUUCUCCCUCUGCCUGUCUCUGCCUCUCUUUCUCUCUGUGUGACUAUCAUAAAUGAAUAAAAAAAAUAAAUUAAAAAAAUUUUAAAUUCA